GACGAACGCUGGCGGCGUGUCUAAUACAUGCAAGUAGAACGCUGAAGGAGGAGCUUGCUCUUCUGGAUGAGUUGCGAACGGGUGAGUAACGCGUAGGUAACCUGCCUGGUAGCGGGGGAUAACUAUUGGAAACGAUAGCUAAUACCGCAUAAAAUUGAUUAUUGCAUGAUAGUCAAUUAAAAGGUGCAAUUGCAUCACUACCAGAUGGACCUGCGUUGUAUUAGCUAGUUGGUGAGGUAACGGCUCACCAAGGCAACGAUACAUAGCCGACCUGAGAGGGUGAUCGGCCAAACUGGGACUGAGACACGGCCCAGACUCCUACGGGAGGCAGCAGUAGGGAAUCUUCGGCAAUGGACGGAAGUCUGACCGAGCAACGCCGCGUGAGUGAAGAAGGUUGUCGGAUCGUAAAGCUCUGUUGUAAGAGAAGAACGAGUGUGAGAGUGGAAAGUUCACACUGUGACGGUAUCUUACCAGAAAGGGACGGCUAACUACGUG
This 495-nucleotide ribosomal RNA is filed under the name uncultured bacterium. RNAcentral describes it as "partial 16S ribosomal RNA". It matches the Rfam family "Bacterial small subunit ribosomal RNA", at positions 28 to 507 of the family's 1533-position model. The record is from RNAcentral.